GCUUGCUUUUGAUGGGCGUCGACCGGCGCACGGGUGAGUAACGCGUAUCCAACCUGCCCACCACUUGGGGAUAACCUUGCGAAAGUAAGACUAAUACCCAAUGACGUCUCUAGAGGACAUCUGAAAGGGAUUAAAGAUUUAUCGGUGAUGGAUGGGGAUGCGUCUGAUUAGCUUGUUGGCGGGGUAACGGCCCACCAAGGCGACGAUCAGUAGGGGUUCUGAGAGGAAGGUCCCCCACAUUGGAACUGAGACACGGUCCAAACUCCUACGGGAGGUAACAGUGAGGAAUAUUGGUCAAUGGACGAGAGUCUGAACCAGCCAAGUAGCGUGCAGGAUGACGGCCCUAUGGGUUGUAAACUGCUUUUAUAAGGGAAUAAAGCGAGUCUCGUGAGACUUUUUGCAUGUACCUUAUGAAUAAGGACCGGCUAAUUCCGUGCCAGCAGCCGCGGUAAUACGGAAGGUCCGGGCGUUAUCCGGAUUUAUUGGGUUUAAAGGGAGCGUAGGCCGGAGAUUAAGCGUGUUGUGAAAUGUAGAUGCUCAACAUCUGCAAUGCAGCGCGAACUGGUUUCCUUGAGUACGCACAAAGUGGGCGGAAUUCGUGGUGUAGCGGUGAAAUGCUUAGAUAUCACGAAGAACUCCGAUUGCGAAGGCAGCUCACUGGAGCGCAACUGACGCUGAAGCUCGAAAGUGCGGGUAUCGAACAGGAUUAGAUACCCUGGUAGUCCGCACGGUAAACGAUGGA
Molecule: ribosomal RNA, 742 nt
Filed under: uncultured bacterium
Lineage: Bacteria
Description: bacterial SSU rRNA
Rfam family: Bacterial small subunit ribosomal RNA
Source: RNAcentral